AACUAUUAAGUUUUAAACGUAUGUUUUGAAAACAUAAAUAGGAGAAAAACCUCCAAUAGUUU
RNAcentral lists this transfer RNA (62 nucleotides) under Pseudoniphargus morenoi. RNAcentral describes it as "tRNA-Ser". Lineage: Eukaryota; Metazoa; Arthropoda; Malacostraca; Amphipoda; Allocrangonyctidae. The record is from RNAcentral.